Molecule: ribosomal RNA, 253 nt
Filed under: uncultured bacterium
Lineage: Bacteria
Description: partial 16S ribosomal RNA
Rfam family: Bacterial small subunit ribosomal RNA
Source: RNAcentral
UACGAAGGGGGCUAGCGUUGUUCGGAUUUACUGGGCGUAAAGAGCUCGUAGGCGGCUCAUUGCGUCAACCGUGAAAACCAGCAGCUCAACUGUUGGCUUGCGGUUGAUACGGGUGGGCUGGAGUUCGGUAGGGGAGACUGGAAUUCCUGGUGUAGCGGUGAAAUGCGCAGAUAUCAGGAGGAACACCGGUGGCGAAGGCGGGUCUCUGGGCCGAUACUGACGCUGAGGAGCGAAAGCGUGGGGAGCGAACAGG